RNAcentral lists this transfer RNA (42 nucleotides) under Nannosciurus melanotis (black-eared squirrel). Its description in RNAcentral is "partial tRNA-Gly". Lineage: Eukaryota; Metazoa; Chordata; Mammalia; Rodentia; Sciuridae. The record is from RNAcentral.
ACUCUCUUAGUAUAACAUAAYAGUACAACUGACUUCCAAUCA